ACUUUAACACAUAUUGACUUGUGGCAUCAAGUGAUAGCAACUAUGACACAGAUUUGGUUGCAUUUUCUAACUUGAUCAAGUGAUAGCAACUAUGACACAGAUUUGGCUGCAUCUUCUAACUUUGGCGAUGAUUGCUCUAACCCUUAGUUGACCUUGAUGGUGAAAUAGUUUAUGAGGAUGAUGAGUUUGAUCCUCCCCUAUUUUCAUAUGAUGUUGAUGAACCAUGUAUUGAUGUUAAUGUAGUCUUUCCGGAUGUGGAUAAGUGCAAAUCUGCGGGUUACACACCAUGCUAUAUUGAACGAUCAUGCUUUUGAGAUUGUCAAAAGGGACAAUACCAGAUUUAGAGCAAUCUGCAUGAGUGUUGAUACUGGUUGCAAUUGAAAGUUUUUUUAAAUCUACAAGCAGGAAGUACAUUGGCUACAAGGUUAAGAUAAGUGGUUCAGAGUAUACUUGUGGUUCAAUCAACAAUUGCGGUGGAACCAUGUCCACAAAUAAAUGGGUAGCUGAUAGAGCGGUGGAUUUGUUGAGAGAUAAUCAUGAAAUGGGUCCAAGGGAGUUGCUGGACAUGUAUUCAUACUUUUGUUGGACUUGUCUGUGGGAAUAUGAUCUGGAUAUGAUGGUACCUUUGUUUGGA
This is a long non-coding RNA of Panicum hallii, 634 nucleotides long. RefSeq lists it as uncharacterized. The record is from RefSeq and is a predicted model, not a curated record. NCBI's taxonomy places the organism in Eukaryota, Viridiplantae, Streptophyta, Magnoliopsida, Poales, Poaceae. The transcript has 2 exons.